UUUUUGUUUUUUUUUUUUAAUGUUGAUCAUGCCCAGGAUCCAUCCCCACAUGAUUCUGAUAUUGAUCUGGGGUGGAGCUAGGUGUAUUUCUUUUAGGAGGUUUCAACGUGAAUCAAUAUUUGUGAAGGCUACCUAAGUAAAUCUAAAGUGCAAUCAGAUCCUCUUGCAGGCUGGAAGUAUCUCAGAAGGGAACCAGGUAGAAACCCGGUGUUAUCCUACAGGCAGGUAUACAUGUUAUUCUGUGGCAUCACCAAUGACACCAGGCUGGCUGCUAAGGACAGCUCUGUUGAGAGGGAAUGUGACCAGGCCGUGUCAGCACCCAUCAAACACACCCGGCCCGCUCGUGAGCGGCACCCGAUACUGGGGCACCCAGCAGAGGGGAGGUCCAUGGCUACAAAACACAGAACAGGAGCCCUGCUUGCUCCUCCACAAAUAAUUAGGCCUAAACUGUAGCAUUACGUGAUAUCUAUCUCCAAGGUCAAUGCGAAUGAAUAGAUCUCUUUGCUGGGUUUCUUCCCUCAAAGCAAAGGUUUCAACCAUCUCCCUUUUCUUCCUCAAUUCAGGAUACAUUGUCCAGCACGUCUGAGCCACUCUGAAAACAAGCCAGUGUGGGUAUAAUGGAAAUAAAGCCAUUUCCAUGAGAAAUGGCGUUUCUUGUUUAAUCCCACUUGCAAGAGCUUACUCAACCGGAGAGGGGAAAAAAAAAAAAAAAAAAAAGCAGUGUUUUUCAAAGUAUGAAAAACUACCCAUUAUCCAUUAGAGAGAAGCCAGUGCAAGUCAGAAGCUUUUGGCUUGAGGAAGAACUAGUGAAUUUGAGGCUCAUUUUUUAAAUGGAAAAUGCUCUUUUUUUUUUUUUUUUCUUUGCCACUCACAACAACUAGUGCACCGUGUGAAGCCCAAACCAAACCUUUUGAAAAUAGUAUUGUUCUAGGGCUAGGGGGUUGGGAGAGAGGGAGAAGGUUUUCAGUUAAAGGAUGAGAAUGAUUACCCUUUGACCAAACUGGAUUCCACCUACUGACCCCAAGGUCCCCAGGUGGGAACUUGGGGUUUUUAGAUUUUAUUCAUUAAAACCAAAGCUCCCUGCUUACAAGCACCACCUCCUGCCCCAUCUUUGCAGGAUCAGUCCCAGCCUUUCCUUCCCAGCCAGCCUUCUCGGCCCCCAGCUUCUCAGCUCCCACAGAAACAGAGGGAGGUGUGCGUGGGAGUUGUGUGCCUCAAGUGGAUGCACCAUUCCCCCGUCACCCCCAGCCACUUUCAACAGAAAAAAAGCUCAGGGUGGGAAGCUGGAGAGCAGGGAGGUUCAGAGGAUGCUGCAAGGGUCCUGAGGCUGCUAAAGCCCAGCAUAGAAUUCCCCUCUGCUGCUUAGACACAGCAGUAGAAAGGCACAGACAUGUCCUCCUGAGUUUCUGACCACUCGGUACAAGCAGUUGAAGAUGUUAGUGGAUCACCAGUCUACCUUGGCUUUGAGUGGACAGUCAGGACACACCUUCAGUGUUUACUAGCUCACCUGUUGUCCUGGACUGCCACAGUGGAUACUGUAAAAGCAAGAGGCAGGGGGUGGGGUGAGAGUAGAGAACCUGAUUUCUUCUUAACCCUGAGGCUGGGGUGGCUUUAUAAAAGACAAAGCCUUGAAAAGUAAACACCUAGGAUAAGUGUCAAUAGUCUUGACACAGUGAAUGGCCUUGGAGUUUACAUGAGCUAACAAAGAUAAAAGAUUUUUGCACAAAAAUUCCACUAGCCAGAUAUCCUUGUCCAGCUCAGCACCCAAUUGUUCAGAGGUAAUUGUACCCUCAGGGAUCCAUUCCCUAUAUUCACUGUUUCCAGGUGGGAACUUGCAAGGUUCCCAAUUCUUUACUUCGUUGGUUUUUUUGGCUGGAAUUUACAAUAUGGAAUUUGAAGAACAAACAAAAUAGCAGUGGUUCCUCUGUCACCCGAUACUCCAGGCAGAGUUUUCUGCGAGAAGGUCUGGAAAAACCUAACGAUGCCAACUGUGGCUGCUCUGUGGAUGCCUUGGGGAAGAAGUGCUGAAUAAGAAAUGCGUGGACCUUGAUUUUGCUCUUUGUCCUGAAUUCAGGUGUGUAUAUGUGUGUGCAUAUAUGUGUACAGGUACACGUGCAUGGAUAAAAUGAACAUGUUCUAGGUUUUUCCUCGUCUGGCAAGCAGCGAUGAUCCAUCACCUCCACCUCCACAGGAUUGCCUGGCAAAUUCAAUAAGAAAAGUUUGUAUUAGGGUUCUUUGGAGAAAUAGAACCAAUAGGGUAAAUAGAGAUAGACAGAUAGACGGAAACAGAGAUAUUAUAAGGGACUGGCUUGUGUCAUUAUGUAAGCUGACAAGUCCUAAGAUCUGCAGGGUGAGUUGGCAAGCUAGACACUCAGGGGAGCCAAUGGUGUAUUUUCAGUCCAACUCCAAAGGCCUGAGAACCAGGAGAACCAGGUGUGAAGUUCUAACCCAAUGCCAGUAGGCUCAACACCCCAGAAGAGCUGAUAUUUCUUCGGUUCAAGUUCAAGCAGAAGAAAGCCAAUGUCCCAGCUCAAUAGGACAGGCAAGAGAAGUACCUCUUACUCAGGGGAGAAUCAGUAUUUUUGUUCUGUUAAGGCCUUCAACUGAUUGGAUGAGGUCCACACACACACUACAAGGUCCGGGGGUCUGCUUUACUCAGUCUACCAAUUUAAAUGUUAAUCUCAUCCCCAAACAUCCUCCAUGAAAACAGAAUAAUGCUUGACCAACAUCUGGGCACCUCAUGGGCCAGUCAACUUGACAUACAAAACAAUGGAGUAGGAGACAGCAUUGAGCCCUGGAUAGAACACCAUUUCUGGAGCCCAGUGGCCAGAAAUCAAGGUUGAGCUUUUAUUUACUGGUUGUGUGAUGUGUAGGUUACUCUGUCUCUCUGGCGCUGCCUCUGUUGCCCCUUCAGUAAGAUAAGGAUAACAAAGAAGUCAGUAUAUGUAAACAUAUGACACACAGGCACUAAAGCAUUAGUUGUUUCGGAUGUGAAAAGUACUUUUUAAAGCUUCAGUUGGCCCUUUGCAUUAAAUGUACAUUGGUAUUUAAGGCAAAAGAGACACAAGACAUAGAAAAUAUAGAACAGAAAAAGAGAAGCAUUAAUACCAAGAAAGAAAAACGAUGGGCCAGAGAACGACACAGAUCUAUUGGCAUAUCCUUACUCUUUGGGUAGAGUAGACCAGGGGAUAGGGAUAGGGGUUUCAGAGAUGCAUCACAACUACACAACUGUGGUUCCUCUCCUCGAAGGAAACUUCUCUGUUUCUCCAGGAGGUUUGUGGGCCUAUAUUUACCUUGGAACCUAAUGGCGGGGUGGCUGUGGUCUUUGCAGAGUAUGGACAUGUUUCAUAUUAUAUGCAUGAGUGAUGGAUGAUCAUGAAACCUAAUAUAUUUGGGGCCCAAUACCAUCAUCCACCAUAAAAGCAAAAUAUUUUCCCAUCUAGAAGUCAAGUUGGAAAAACCUCUCUCACAGUUGGUUUGGGUUUUAAAGACAUAGUAAUGGCUGCAAAGAUGGCCUGUUCGUCCAGAUAAGACUGAAGCCAACCUGACACCUCAUUGCAGUCUGGUCCCUCUUCCAAAGUUCUGUUAUGCAUGUGGGUGGUGUUAACAGUGUCCUUCUGGCAGCUAAAAUGGACCAAGAGAACAGCCUAAUGGUUAGAGAAAACCUAGUUGGGAUAGCAAGAAAUGCAGCGGCUGGACUGGCCAGAUAAGACUGCUGGGGGCCAGCGGGACAGCUCUUCCAGAGUGUGAGGUAUUUGGGGUUUGGCAAACCCUAAGAAGCUGGUUGCCAAGCCCUGUUGCCCCUUGGUCCCCUGGUGUAUUUCAAAGGAAAUUAAAUCCACAUGUUUCUGAUUUGCUGACACUUAAAGCUCAUCCAAAGGUGAUUUUGCAAGAGUGGUUUGGACACAAGAAGCCUAGAGAAACUUUAAUUAUUAUUGUUAUUUUUCAUUUUGAAACAUAGACCUGUACGCUUACAUAAUGAAUGCCAUGCCUACAAAAUCAGAGCCUAGUUUUGCCUUACCAAAACUUUUUGUUCUGGGCCCACCAGAGACAGAUAAUCGAAGUCAACUGCAGAAGACAAACAUCCAACCUAGAAAUCUCUCUCACAAAUGGUGCUGUUAACAGGCCCUUUUGAUUGGGUUGCACCUCAGAACCCCCAAACCUAGAGUUCAAAACCAUAUGCACAAUAUGGAUUGAGUGUAUUGAUUUCAUUAUUCCCUCAGACUCUGGCCAAGGAGCUAGAAACCUAAAUCCAAGAUGGGAUCAUGUUGGUAGGUCCUGGGAACCAAGGUCCAAAGAUGCGGGGCACGGCUCCUCAAGGGCAAGAGGCCAUCACAAAUGCUUUCUGUAGAAUGUUCUAAAAUGUCUUGCCAUGUCCCUAAAUGAAACCUAGACAAGGAGCAACUCCAAUUCAGUUUCAGUGAAAUAGAAUCACAUUAGACACUUAGAAAGAGUAAGUGCUUCUGGACAGAAUAUGUGACCUCUCCAAGUCUAGACACAUGAAAACUAUUGGCCAGAGAGCUCAGGGACCAAAGGGUCCCUUCUUCUGAACCUGGCAUAGACAUUUUCGAUUUCUCCUUUUCCCUCCACACACACACACACACACACACACACACACACACACACACACACACCCAAGCCACUGCAUAUAGCGUUUCCUCAAGACUCACCUCAGAGGAAUUGAAUCUCCCGACAGAAGUGGUGGCUUUGUUCUCUCUGGCUUUUCCCACCUGUUCUCCCAGCUUUAGGCCAUCAACUGCUUGGUUAGCAGCUUACUCCGUUAGUCUCCACCAUUGGAAUCUCCCAGUCCCUAGCACAGGGUCUCGAACAUGAUGUGUCUUUAAACCUCUGAUAAAGUGGGUGAUGAGGGCUGGGAUGAAGAACUGGGCUUCACCUGGAACUCAACCCUCUCCAGUUUCUCUGCUUCUGCAGUUGGAUUUCUCUGGAUAUGCGGUGUACAUUUCCGGCUCCCUCUCGCCCAAGGGCCUUCACACAUGCUCCUGCAAUCCCUCAUUUUUUUUCAUCCAGGUAACCUUUGCAUAGCAGGUCAAGUUAGAUGUCCCUUUCUCGAAAGGCAUUUUCUUUUCAGCCUAGGGAUGUGCUUCCCUCCCUCCUCUGCAUAGUCGAUACAUAUUUAUAUCUACCUAAGGAAAUACAAGGUCACCUGCAUUACCUCCCUUCCCAUCAAACUGCUGGCUCCUGGAGGCCAGGAUCCAUGUCUGUUUCUCCUUCAUCCAUCCCCAGCACCUGGGCCUGAGAAACCAGUGUUGGUUCACUGACUUCUCACACCAGCCUGGUACCGGUCUUUGCCACCAACACAGCUUAUUUCUGUGAACUAUACAAACUAAGAGCAAUGAGAGAGUUUUCAGACACUUGGAAACCAGUGCCCACUUAAAUCAGUUUGCUACGGCUGCCAUAAUAAAAUGCCACAAAUGGAUGGCUUAAGAACAACAGAAAUGUUCUGAUUCAAAGUUCUAGAACUCUAGAAGGCUGGAGUCUUAGAUUGAGGUGUCCACAGGGUUUGUUCCUUCUGAGGGCCAUGAGGAAGGAUUUAUUCCAGACCUGCCUUUUGGCUUUUCCUGGGUUUGCUGGCAAUCUUUGGCACCGCUGGUCUGGGAGAAGCACCAUGUCCAUCUCUGGCUCCAUCGUCACAUGGCAAUCUGCAUAUGGGCAUGUAUGCCUCUGUGUCCAAAUAUCCCAGGAUCCCUUUUUCUAAGGACAUCAGUCAUAUUGGAUCAGAGGCCACCCUAAUAACCUCAUCUUACCUUAAUCAUCUGCAGAGACCCUAAAUUCCAAAUAAGUUCACUUUCAUAAGUAUUGAGGGUUAGGACUUUGAUACCUUUUGGGGGAAUGCUGUUCAACCACUCUUCUGGUAAAGAAAAAAAAGGAGCUUAAAAUUGACAUUGAAAUACAGUGAUCAUUUAAUUUAUUGUCCAGGCAAGGACAUUUUUUCUGAGAACGGAGGGGGGCACUUUUAACAAUUUUGUAGGGACAACAGGCACAAACCAGCACUAUCCCGGGCAGGCAGUCUGGGAUGUAUGGCCACCCUCUGUGGCCAUAGGCUCAUUGCCGAGGCUUUCCCACACAAGGAUGCUUCGUACCUUCACUUCAAAUCCCUCUGUGUUUGUGUUCCCAGCAAGUUCAGUCUGUUUUAUACACAGUCUCGGUGAGACCAAGGGAUUAGCUGUAUUCCGGUGAUAGUUAAUUCACUGUUUCCAGUUACCAAUUGCAAGCCCAAUCUCAGCAAUUAAUUUGGCCAGAUCAAAUCAGGCCCUCUUACACCUGUUCCCCUGUUUUAAUUAGGCUUUAAUCUCCCCGGGGGAGUUGGAGGCACUGAGCACCAUUACCUAAGCCUUAGAUUAGGAAGGCAGUGUCAGAUACCCCACGUCGCCAUAAUGCACAGGCGCUGUCCCUGAAACAGGUCCCGCCCUUUGGUCUAGAAAUCUGCCUUGACAACUGUGAUCCCCCCAGCAUGGCUGGGGAAAAGAUCCUUUUUUUUGUUACAGACUUCCUUUCAUCUCCUCCCAAGGGAAGGCAAUGUUCCCAGUGGUGCUUCUUUCUGAGGUAAUUGUUGGACAGGAGUCAGCCAGUUAAGGCUGCCCAUCUAAUUAACAGAGUCUGUUAUGAUUUAUCAGGAUAAUGAGGUGGGGAACAAAGACAUCGAUUUUUUUUCCCCUUCCUGAUAUUUUGGCCUCUUUUCUUCCUUUUGGAAAAUGACCCAAUGUUAAUGAGAAACGAGUCGCUUAUUGUUGGGGUGCAAAUAGACAGAUAAAUGACAUCAGUAAUUAAGUCUCAAGCCCUCUUCGGUAUACAGAGCCAUUUGUCAGGCAAUAUUAUUCAAUUAAUUAAUUCCAUUAGGGCUACCACAUUUCUCUAAAUCCAGCCAUUCAACCAUCAGUGAUGAUAAUUCAUAUGAUACAAAAAUAGAAUGGUUAAUAAAGGCAUAGUGAGUCCAGGAAGAAAGUAUUUUAGCCACCACAGAAAGCCUAGCUAGAAGCAUUUGAUUUGAAAACGUGUAAAGUGAUCACAGCUAGCCAUGUACCUCUUCCCAUCACGGACUGAACAUAUAUGUUCUGGGCAUUCCUUAUUUCAAAUGUCUAGGAGGAGAAAGGAGGACAGCGGAGUGGUCCAAAUCACCUUCUGACACCACAUCAGUGGACACUGUCAGGCUUCUGGUCAUUUGCCCAUCGGUGGUCAGAGAGGGGACAAGGGCCAUGAAAUGUGAUUGUCUCAAGGCAAUACAAUGAGAGAGAAGGUUCUCAAAACAGGCGGCCAGGUUGUUUUUUUUUCUUAUACAACUAUCUACUGGUAAAUAUUUAUCAAAAUGAAAAUUGGCUUACCAGCUGUGUGGUCAAUUUUUGUCUGCUUUCUUUCCUCUUUUGUCAGGGAGAAAAUCCUGACUCAUCCAUCUCUUACUGCUCACAACUCAAGGUAAUUCUGUCUCUGUUGAUGGUCAUGUUAACAGAAAACACACCCACAUUCUCUUUAAUCCCCUUACUCUUUCCACUCUCCUUUUUAGCUCUUGCCAACUUUCUCAGAAUUCUUUACACCCUCCUAGUGUGAAACUUGCCUUCCAAAAAAAAAAAAAAAAAAAAAA
Molecule: long non-coding RNA, 7597 nt
Filed under: Canis lupus familiaris (dog)
Lineage: Eukaryota; Metazoa; Chordata; Mammalia; Carnivora; Canidae
Description: lncRNA (ENSCAFG00000054707.1)
Source: RNAcentral